GAUGAACGCUAGCGGCAGGCCUAACACAUGCAAGUCGAGGGGUAGAGUGCUUCGGCACUUGAGACCGGCGUACGGGUGCGUAACGCGUGUACAAUCUACCUUUUGCUAAGGGAUAGCCCGAAGAAAUUUGGAUUAAUACCUUAUAGUAUUAUUUGGUGGCAUCAUUAAAUAAUUAAAGCUACGGUGGCAAAAGAUGAGUACGCGUCCCAUUAGCUAGUUGGAGUGGUAACGGCACACCAAGGCUACGAUGGGUAGGGGUUCUGAGAGGGAUGUCCCCCACACUGGUACUGAGACACGGACCAGACUCCUACGGGAGGCAGCAGUGAGGAAUAUUGGACAAUGGUCGGAAGACUGAUCCAGCCAUGCCGCGUGCAGGAUGACGGCCUUAUGGGUUGUAAACUGCUUUUGUAUGGGAAGAAUAAGGUCUACGUGUAGAUUGAUGACGGUACCGUACGAAUAAGCAUCGGCUAACUCCGUGCCAGCAGCCGCGGUAAUACGGAGGAUGCGAGCGUUAUCCGGAAUCAUUGGGUUUAAAGGGUCCGUAGGCGGGCUUAUAAGUCAGAGGUGAAAGCACUGAGCUCAACUGAGUAACUGCCUUUGAAACUGUAGGUCUUGAAUGUUUGUGAAGUAGCUGGAAUGUGUAGUGUAGCGGUGAAAUGCAUAGAUAUUACACAGAACACCGAUUGCGAAGGCAUGUUACUAACAAAUUAUUGACGCUGAUGGACGAAAGCGUGGGGAGCGAACAGGAUUAGAUACCCUGGUAGUCCACGCUGUAAACGAUGGAUACUAGCUGUUUGGCAGUAAUGCUGAGUGGCUAAGCGAAAGUGAUAAGUAUCCCACCUGGGGAGUACGCACGCAAGUGUGAAACUCAAAGGAAUUGACGGGGGCCCGCACAAGCGGUGGAGCAUGUGGUUUAAUUCGAUGAUACGCGAGGAACCUUACCAAGGUUUAAAUGGGAAACGACGUAUCUAGAGAUAGAUAUUUCUUCGGACGUUUUUCAAGGUGCUGCAUGGUUGUCGUCAGCUCGUGCCGUGAGGUGUCAGGUUAAGUCCUAUAACGAGCGCAACCCCUGCUGUUAGUUGCUAGCGAGUCAAGUCGAGCACUCUAACGGGACUGCCGGUGCAAACCGUGAGGAAGGUGGGGAUGACGUCAAAUCAUCACGGCCCUUACA
RNAcentral lists this ribosomal RNA (1171 nucleotides) under Capnocytophaga cynodegmi. RNAcentral describes it as "bacterial SSU rRNA". It matches the Rfam family "Bacterial small subunit ribosomal RNA", at positions 28 to 1206 of the family's 1533-position model. Lineage: Bacteria; Pseudomonadati; Bacteroidota; Flavobacteriia; Flavobacteriales; Flavobacteriaceae. The record is from RNAcentral.